GACGAACGCUGGCGGCGUGCUUAACACAUGCGAGUCGAACGGAAAGGCCCUGCUUUUGUGGGGUGCUCGAGUGGCGAACGGGUGAGUAACACGUGAGUAACCUGCCCUUGACUUUGGGAUAACUUCAGGAAACUGGGGCUAAUACCGGAUAGGAGCUCCUGCUGCAUGGUGGGGGUUGGAAAGUUUCGGCGGUUGGGGAUGGACUCGCGGCUUAUCAGCUUGUUGGUGGGGUAGUGGCGUACCAAGGCUUUGACGGGUAGCCGGCCUGGGAGGGUGACCGGCCACAUUGGGACUGAGAUACGGCCCAGACUCCUACGGGAGGCAGCAGUGGGGAAUAUUGCACAAUGGGCGGAAGCCUGAUGCAGCAACGCCGCGUGCGGGAUGACGGCCUUCGGGUUGUAAACCGCUUUCGCCUGUGACGAAGCGUGAGUGACGGUAAUGGGUAAAGAAGCACCGGCUAACUACGUG
This 468-nucleotide ribosomal RNA is filed under the name uncultured bacterium. RNAcentral's name for it is "partial 16S ribosomal RNA". It matches the Rfam family "Bacterial small subunit ribosomal RNA", at positions 28 to 507 of the family's 1533-position model. The record is from RNAcentral.